This is a long non-coding RNA of Zootermopsis nevadensis, 3366 nucleotides long. RefSeq lists it as uncharacterized. NCBI's taxonomy places the organism in Eukaryota, Metazoa, Arthropoda, Insecta, Blattodea, Termopsidae. The record is from RefSeq and is a predicted model, not a curated record.
GUGUCUACGUCGAUUCUACAGGAAGAAUCUGCCAAGGACAGAAUGUGGACUGACGUCACAAGGAGAAAACGAGAAAAAUCAUGACAGCUUUAAACGCGAAAAAGAUUAAAUCACUUGGAAGACGCAGGAUUCUAAUUAGAUCAGAAUAAGGUCCAGUGGCGACUUUAUGGAUGGAUAAUAUUAAAAUGGAUUCUAAUUAGAUCAGAAUAAGGUCCAGUGGCGACUUUAUGGAUGGAUAAUAUUAAAAUGGAUUCUAAUUAGAUCAGAAUAAGGUCCAGUGGCGACUUUAUGGAUGGAUAAUAUUAAAAUGGAUUCUAAUUUGAUCAGAAUAAGGUCCAGUGGCGACUUUAUGGAUGGAUAAUAUUAAAAUGGAUUCUAAUUUGAUCAGAAUAAGGUCCAGUGGCGACUUUAUGGAUGGAUAAUAUUAAAAUGGAUUCUAAUUUGAUCAGAAUAAGGUCCAGUGGCGACUUUAUGGAUGGAUAAUAUUAAAAUGGAUUCUAAUUUGAUCAGAAUAAGGUCCAGUGGCGACUUUAUGGAUGGAUAAUAUUAAAAUGGAUUCUAAUUAGAUCAGAAUAAGGUCCAGUGGCAAAUAUUGUUAAUAUGGUACUGUGCAUUACAGUUUCACGAACUCGCGGACUAUUUGAAUACACAGCGCAGUGAUAUAUGGCACGAGGAAUCAUCAGUCUGCAAUGAUUACAGUUUUUAAAUAUACCCGCGGUCUGGAAUGCUCUAGUUAUAUCAGUCCCUGAGCUCGGUUUAGUCCGCGUUCGGGUGGAAAGGCAAGCGACUGAACCACUGCUGACGAGUAAGCAUGAAUGACCCUCUUUUGCCCACAACCGAGACUGACGCCCAGCGCUACUGCCCGGUAUGUUUAUCGACUUCAGAGUGAAUCCAGUUCUUUUAUGUGAGACCGACGCUCAUAUGAAAGGUUAACGUCGCAAAAUCUUGUGCAAGGAACGGAUUAAACAAAUUUUCCUCCGGAAAACGUCAUAUAUUUAGUCCGGCUGUUUUAUCCUCACACGUACUGUUUGUGCAUGUCAUCAGAUAAUUACAUUUUCUUCGUAUUCUGCGAACUUGUUAGGUUAUCUUAAAAUCCGUCAGUAUGUUUGCCCUCUCCAGCUUUGUAUCACGUAUUCCCACGUAAUUACUCCAGAAAGUUACAUAAUUAUUACAACAUACUUAAGAACGUGCGUGAGUGAAAUUGUAAAUACUGUUAUGACGCUGGCCACAAGUUAAAUCAGAGCUAUUUGCAGUUAAGAACGAAUAAUAUCGAUCACUGUCUUAUGGACUGUGACGCCGGCGGUCUUGUGGAUAUAUAACGACCCCCAGACAGUAACUAAUCGCUCCUAAGGUCACCAUCUAAAUUUUUUUUAUAGCCACAAAAUCAUGACCUAGAUUGUGAAUCUCUUGUAAACUGAAACGACUUUGGACACAAAUAGAAUAUACCCACGCUUCAAAAAUAAUUUAACAGGCAAGUGAUUAUUUCCUGUCUGAAUGCAGACUACAUAUUUGAAAGCUUCCUGAAACGCUGGUAAACUUCUACAAGACUACAUGGUGUAACAACUCAGAAAUCUUGUUCGCCCCUAGAAAAUGAUAAAAUAAUUAAAAUAGUAUUUCCCCAGACAGUUGGGAAAAGAGCGGAUGUUCACUCUCAUCAAGAAUAUCUAUCAGGAAGGCUGGAUAAUGCUUCCAUCUUUUAUGACUAUGUUCUAACCUUUCAUGUAGUAUGUCAAUUGUCAGACAGAUGUCGCACGGUGUGUUUGAUUUACAGAUUUGCGUUGUUGAUAAUGCAGGUUAAAAUCUCGACGUAGGAAUUGGUUUCGCAAGUUCUCACGUAUAUGUAGGAGAAUGCGCUUUACUUCAACAACUUCGUAUGGUAUUUAGACAAGCGACCGUAGUCUUAAACGUAAUUCCUUGGUUGGAAGAGUAGAGUGCCGCCAUAUUAUCAAAAUAUCUCUAAUUUCUUCUUAGCAGUAAAACAUAAUUAGUGAUCUCAGUCUCGUACUAGAGACAAGUGUAAUUGAGUUAAAAACGGAUAUUUUGCAAAUUUUGACUGUGCUUGUAGUGUCAAUCUGUAGAAGACAGUGCAUAUAACUUUGAGACAAGAUUUUUCAGCUGUUCAAGAAUUUCUACAUAUGAAUAAGGUGUGUUAUCGGGUUUUGGGGGAAAAGCAUUUGACUCCUCUACCAUCAGAUCUGCUCGUGCAGUAGCUAGGACAACCUAGUUCAGGUGUGACAGCUGCGAGAGGAAGCGAGCAGUAGCAAUAAGAAAGACUUGCUCUGAUUGGUUUACCUCCCACCAGAUGACAGUCCUUGCUACUGCGCAAUCGCGUCAUCUUAUGUGAAGCCUGUUACAACCAUUACUAUACUGCAUUCCAGAAAAUGACGCAAGAGUACGACGUGGUGAAUCGGAUCUACAUCUGGACGUGCAACCAUGAGGAUGGAAGAUCUCUACAGUGGCUUGUGACUACGUCAGCGAGGCUCCUGACCCCCAGAAAUUCCUCUCUUUGAGUAACAAGCAGAUGGCAGCCUUUCAAUCGAGAAGUUGAUAGCGUGAAAUGGGGACCUCUCGGAGUCAACUGGGUCUCACUGGCGCCGUGCCGUGGAGAAAUACGGGAAACACGUUCUGGACACACAGGCAUACCUCGGAGAUAUUGCGGGCUCGGUUCCAGACCAACGCAAUAAAACGAGUCACACGAAUUUUUUGGUUUCCCAGUGGAUAUAAAAGUUAUGUUUACACUACACUGUAGUUUAUUAAGCAUUAUGUCAGUGUCGGCCACUGAAUUGCCCGCCAUGAGGGACAGAAUGUGAGAAAUGAAAGCCUCAGUGCAUUGCUAAGACCAGGUGUUUUAAGUAUUGUUCUCACAUUGUUUUAAAGCGCAUUUAUGAAGCAUUAUUUAGUGAGAAUUUAAUUAUACUGCUGUAGAAUAAAUCCAGCUUGAAUUGAACUCACGACGUUGUUACAAAAUAUAAUUUUCCCCAGGUGCUACCUAAUCUCAAGCACUCGCAAUGAAUAUUAGCCCCUGAAACUGAGACACAAAUUUUGAUACCCACACAAACAACAGGAAAAAUUACUUUGGUUCGUUUUAAUAGCACUGGAAACACAAAAUAUUGGUAUUUAAAUAGACUUGCAGAGAGCUGUAGUAGUAUUUAAAAGGGACCGCAAAGGGUUAAUAUUAGUAAUUAAAGUACGUUUGUUGUUUGAUUCAGUUUUUUGUUUGAUUAAGUGUGUUUCUUCUCUUGACAUACAAUAGGCCGAGUUAACUUUCUUAAAAUUAUGAAGAAUAAUAUGUGUGCUUUUGAGUAUAAACAGUCGGAUAUAAUUUUCUAUUUAUUUUUUGUAAUAAUAAAACAAUUUCUUUUCUUA